UGCAAGUCGAACGAACUCUGGUAUUGAUUGGUGCUUGCAUCAUGAUUUACAUUUGAGUGAGUGGCGAACUGGUGAGUAACACGUGGGAAACCUGCCCAGAAGCGGGGGAUAACACCUGGAAACAGAUGCUAAUACCGCAUAACAACUUGGACCGCAUGGUCCGAGUUUGAAAGAUGGCUUCGGCUAUCACUUUUGGAUGGUCCCGCGGCGUAUUAGCUAGAUGGUGGGGUAACGGCUCACCAUGGCAAUGAUACGUAGCCGACCUGAGAGGGUAAUCGGCCACAUUGGGACUGAGACACGGCCCAAACUCCUACGGGAGGCAGCAGUAGGGAAUCUUCCACAAUGGACGAAAGUCUGAUGGAGCAACGCCGCGUGAGUGAAGAAGGGUUUCGGCUCGUAAAACUCUGUUGUUAAAGAAGAACAUAUCUGAGAGUAACUGUUCAGGUAUUGACGGUAUUUAACCAGAAAGCCACGGCUAACUACGUGCCAGCAGCCGCGGUAAUACGUAGGUGGCAAGCGUUGUCCGGAUUUAUUGGGCGUAAAGCGAGCGCAGGCGGUUUUUUAAGUCUGAUGUGAAAGCCUUCGGCUCAACCGAAGAAGUGCAUCGGAAACUGGGAAACUUGAGUGCAGAAGAGGACAGUGGAACUCCAUGUGUAGCGGUGAAAUGCGUAGAUAUAUGGAAGAACACCAGUGGCGAAGGCGGCUGUCUGGUCUGUAACUGACGCUGAGGCUCGAA
This 736-nucleotide ribosomal RNA is filed under the name Lactiplantibacillus pentosus. Its description in RNAcentral is "bacterial SSU rRNA". It matches the Rfam family "Bacterial small subunit ribosomal RNA", at positions 56 to 757 of the family's 1533-position model. The record is from RNAcentral. Lineage: Bacteria; Bacillati; Bacillota; Bacilli; Lactobacillales; Lactobacillaceae.